AAGUCGUACCAGUGAACCUGCGGGAAGGAUCAUUAACACGUAUCAACGUUAAAACAACCCCCGUGAACUUUGCUUGCUCCUGUGAUAUUUUAGUUGAGCGAGUGACCUG
Molecule: unclassified non-coding RNA, 109 nt
Filed under: fungal sp.
Lineage: Eukaryota; Fungi
Description: partial internal transcribed spacer region
Source: RNAcentral